Molecule: ribosomal RNA, 777 nt
Filed under: uncultured Neocallimastigales
Lineage: Eukaryota; Fungi; Neocallimastigomycota; Neocallimastigomycetes; Neocallimastigales
Description: partial large subunit ribosomal RNA
Rfam family: Eukaryotic large subunit ribosomal RNA
Source: RNAcentral
CAUCACUACGCUAGAUGCAUAUCAAUAAGCGGAGGAAAAGAAACUAACAAGGAUUCCCCUAGUAACGGCGAGUGAAGCGGGAAGAGCUCAAAUUUGAAAUCUUAAAGGUUUUACCUUGACGAAUUGUAGUUUAAAGAAGUGUUUUCUGUUGGAGUUUCGGUAAAAGUUCUUUGGAAUAGGACAUCAUAGAGGGUGAGAAUCCCGUAUUUGACCAUUACUUUCCAGCUGUGUGAUACACUUUCAAAGAGUCGGAUUGUUUGGGAAUGCAGUCCAAAAUGGGUGGUAGAUUUCAUCUAAAGCUAAAUACUGGCGAGAGACCGAUAGCGAACAAGUACCGUGAGGGAAAGAUGAAAAGAACUUUGAAAAGAGAGUUAAACAGUACGUGAAAUUGUCAAAAGGGAAGCGUUUGACACCAGUGUUGUUUUCUCGGAAAUCAAUUAAAAAUGCUGGGAUUUUGUGUUGUAUUGACUUUAUCAGCUUUCUGCACUUUUUUCCUUAUCUUUUUUAAUGCACUUUUCGUUUAACAAGUCAACAUCAGUUUCUUUUGUUGUAAAAGAGUCAUUGGAAGGUGGCUUUCUUUUCGGAGAAAGUGUUUAUAGCCUUUGGCUCUCUGCAAUCGGAGAGAUUGAGGUCUGCAGCGUAGAUCCUUCGGGGUUAAAUACAUUUGUGCUAAGCUAUAGCUUUUUAUAGACAACUUGUUGACUAUGAUCAGUCAUGUAGCUUACUCGCUUAUGCUAUUUUACCUACGCUUAGGAUGUUGAUAGUCACAGCGUGUAC